RNAcentral lists this transfer RNA (67 nucleotides) under Marmota monax (woodchuck). Its description in RNAcentral is "tRNA.Val". It matches the Rfam family "tRNA". Rfam says of the family: Transfer RNA (tRNA) molecules are approximately 80 nucleotides in length. Their secondary structure includes four short double-helical elements and three loops (D, anti-codon, and T loops). The record is from RNAcentral. Lineage: Eukaryota; Metazoa; Chordata; Mammalia; Rodentia; Sciuridae.
UGUAGCUCAGUGGUAGAGCACUUGCCUCACAUAUGCAAGGCCCUGGGUUCCAUCCCCAGUACUACAA